Molecule: ribosomal RNA, 900 nt
Filed under: Triticum aestivum (bread wheat)
Lineage: Eukaryota; Viridiplantae; Streptophyta; Magnoliopsida; Poales; Poaceae
Description: partial small subunit ribosomal RNA
Source: RNAcentral
AUGCCCGCGGCUCACAGAUCUCUCCCGUCCCCUCCUCCCCUCGCAACGGCCGCCCUGCUUGCGGUGUUCCAGCGGUGGGGUCUCCGAUACGGCCUGACGGUGAACCCGGGGCGCCCGUGCGGGACGCGGGACUGGAUCUACUCCUUCGCGCAGAACGCAUCCGUCGACUGCAGCUGCGACGGCUCGCCCGUGUGUCGCAUCACACACCUGUUCAUGCCCCGUCUUCCCGGCUCAUCCGAGGCCUCUGGGAACAUCACCGGAUUCUGGAAUCUGACCGAGAUCCCGCUGGAGCUCUUCAACUUAACGGAGCUGAUCAAGGUACCUAACAACUACCAGCAGUUCAUCAGCAUCCUGACUGGCCAUGUUAACUCUGCCUCCUACUUCUCGACGGACACCGCAUCCUUCCCUGGUAGGCUUCCAAUGGACGCCUGCCUAUGCCCUGCUGCUUCCGCGCCGAUGCCGGCCACCGCGCCCAGUCGCCACGACCAGCGACAGCAGUCUCCUCGGCGGCUGACGGUGUGCAGGUGUGCACCCUGGCCCUGGGGCCUGGAGACGUGCAUCGUAGAAGGCCAACAGCUAGGAGCUGAGCAGCCGUACAAAGCCGAAGGUGUCAGAGUAGCAGCGAGCAACAUAACUUUUCUCGCAGAAGGUGAAGAGGUCGUCGUUCUGCACGUCGGACAAGGUUCUUCAGCUGUCGGACGAGGUGGAGGCACUCUUCCUGAAGCACUUCGCGGGCAACAACACGAGGUGCAGAGCUAUAGUGCUCUUGGACUAUCAUCCAAUUGCUUGCUGUUGCUGCAUACAUAUGGUGGCCUCUAUUCAUGUUUCGUCGUGAGCUCUAGGAUGAAGAAGUUGGAAGAAGCAAUGCAUGCCGGAUCUAGGCAUGCAUGCAUGCUCUAG